Meleagris gallopavo (turkey) is the source of this 2521-nucleotide non-coding RNA. Lineage: Eukaryota; Metazoa; Chordata; Aves; Galliformes; Phasianidae. The record is from RefSeq and is a predicted model, not a curated record.
UGGGUAAGGUAUCUAAUGAUGGAACGUUGCCCUGGCAGCACCUUCGUUGACGCUCUGUUCCCAGCAUCCCAGCUCCAUUCCUGCAGGCCCAACCUGAAGGAUAGAAAAUUGCUGCUGCAGCUUGAACUACUGACUUCUCACCGAGCUCAAUGCCACGAAUAGUUCUCUGCCAGCAGUCACCACACCACGCAACUUGUCGAUGAACUGACUGCAGAAAGACAGCUAUGGCAUCUCCAGGCAAAGAGAGCAUCCCACAUGACAGGUAGGAAUUAAUUUGGUGUUCUCCUAUCUUCCUGGAUGCUUGGACUAGUUAUUAGAUUAUAUAUUUUUUUAAAGUAGAAAACUGAGUGCAAGCAUCACAGUGAUGAGGUGGAGCAGAAAGGUUUUCCCUUAGAAGCCAAACCUGUAAAACUGAUUUUUUGGAGUCAUUUUCCUGCAGUUCCCAUUGCUUUUUGAACAUCGCUCUCUUUGGCUGCCAGUAUGUUUUACCCUCAUACCAGAAAUCUGUGAUCUUUUCCCCUGUUAUGCUGUCCCAAGGCACAAAAGAACAGUGAUUGCUGCAUAUGGGAAAGGCAUGGGUGAACAGAAACUCAGGUAUUGAUGAGAUUCAAACCAUUCUCUUGCACUUCCUCUGCUGCCAUUCUCCAAAACACGUAUUCAUAUAUAUAUAUUUAAUUGUCAAUAUAACUACGAAGAAUUGGUUAAAAAAAUCCACUUUCUGGAAUUCUGGAAUAUAAUGCAUAACAGCCGGGUCAAAACCAAACCAGAAUCACAGGCAUUUAGUUUCUUGGUGUCCUACAUACCUCGCUGCCUCAUCUGGGGAUUGGAUAUUGCUGCAAAAUGAAUCUGACAGCUGUAGUGAAUCUGAAGGGUACAUUGUGUUCUGUACAUAGAUGUUAUCUUGAUUCAAUUGGAAUAUAAAUCUGGAUAUUUAACACCCUUGCACAGUGUGGUUUCUGACAGUUUCAGUGCCAAAGCCAACAAGGACUAUAAACCUCUUUCUGACUUUAACUGUUUGUGAAAGUUCUUACUGGUGAUGGAACAUUUGAAGACAUUAACAGUGAUAAGUCAGUAGUGCCUGGGGAGAUAAUGGAAAUUCCUCCUGAUGGCUGCCAAAAUCUCAUCGGGUACAGCCUCCAGGACAGUCUUGUUUGUGGAAUAAGGUGGUUUCUCUUUUAAAGUCUUUCCUUUCAUUUAAACACUGAAGCACAUAGGGUUGCUUUCCCCUUGGUUCUCAGAAAUGUUUCAUUUUUAACAACUCUUUCUUUCUUUCUUUCUUUCUUUCUUUCUUUCUUUCUUUCUUUCUUUCUUUCUUUCUUUUUCAUAAUAAGCUGCAUACAUCUUGGCCUUCUGUUCUUAAAGCAAAAACUACCUUUUGGUUAUGUUCCUCCCCUCCCAUUUUUUCAGUGCCAUGCUGGUUUACCUUUCCCCCACCACUUCUGUAGCCAUGCAGCAUGGGUGAGACCUGGUGCUGAGUGCUUUGCAUACUUAGCCCAGCAAGGGUGUGCUGCUGGCAGCCAGAUGGAGAUCUGGAAGUGCUAAGUUUAAGAAGGUGCUAUAAAGCAAAGCCUGUGGAGAGGUGCUUGGUCUAGACUCCUGCCAUUGCUCACAGCCUGUGCCUUGAUUUGCCUCGUUAAACUGGUUUUUGUCUAUGCUUUUAUGUUUGGGUUUCUAGCUUUUACUUGCUUUCCAGUUGUACAUUGGAGACAGAAGUUUUAGGGGAAAGACAAAUCUAUCAUCUCCAUUCUCCUGCAUACGUGAAGCCUGUGAAACACUGUGUAGUGUGGUGUUGUAGACUGUGCUUUACAGCAGCAACGUGUGUGUGUGUUGCACAGCUGCUUCUGCAGCUAGGGCUGGGGGAAGACAGGAGAAUAUCAAGCCCUUGCCAAGUUUGUAUACACUUUGGGAUUGCCAGAGCAUGAGCAGUUCCUUAAAGAUGAACCCCUCUGCUGGCCGCAGCCUCUACUUUUCUAUGAAGGUGAUGAGAAGGGCAGGAGGGCACUGGCUUCUAGGGAUGCUCCAGAGCUGCACUGUUAGGGGUUCUCCUGCAAGUCUGUGGCAGCCUUUGCCUUCUGACCUGGUGCAAAAGUCCUCUUUGCAAAUAAAAAGGCUCUGCUGCUUCGCACGUCUGGAAUCACAGCCUGGAAUCACAAUGCAUGUGUGACCCUUCUCACCUUCAGAUGUGGAGGAUUCAUCAGUGGCAAUGGUGAUUUCUAGUCAACAGAACUGGGAGAACGUGCUUUAAUUAAAAGAGCAGUGCCUCUUGAAGGCUGAAAGUAAGGGUGUGUGUCUGUUUAAAAAAACACAGUGUGGUACCAUAUAAUGAGACGUUUGGAAAAGGUUGGUAAGGGCAUGAAGCUGACCUAUUUCUGGGGAUAAACAAGCACUUGUUGUGUUGUACAGCAAAUGUGAUACUUCAGGAAAGCUUAUAGGCCAAUGUCUAAUUACUUUAAUACUGUGUGGCAUCUACUGCAUUUAUCCUUUAUGCUUGCUCAACUGUUUGACAGUAGUGUAAGCUUCU